RNAcentral lists this ribosomal RNA (526 nucleotides) under uncultured bacterium. RNAcentral's name for it is "bacterial SSU rRNA". It matches the Rfam family "Bacterial small subunit ribosomal RNA", at positions 980 to 1509 of the family's 1533-position model. The record is from RNAcentral.
CUUGACAUCCAGAGAACUUGGCAGAGAUGCCUUGGUGCCUUCGGGAACUCUGAGACAGGUGCUGCAUGGCUGUCGUCAGCUCGUGUUGUGAAUGUUGGUUAAGUCCCGCAACGAGCGCAACCCCUAUCCUUUGUUGCCAGCGAUUCGGUCGGGAACUCAAAGGAGACUGCCGGUGAUAACCGGAGGAAGGUGGGGAUGACGUCAAGUCAUCAUGGCCCUUACGAGUAGGGCUACACACGUGCUACAAUGGCGUAUACAAAGAGAAGCGACCUCGCGAGAGCAAGCGGACCUCAUAAAGUACGUCGUAGUCCGGAUUGGAGUCUGCAACUCGACUCCAUGAAGUCGGAAUCGCUAGUAAUCGUAGAUCAGAAUGCUACGGUGAAUACGUUCCCGGGCCUUGUACACACCGCCCGUCACACCAUGGGAGUGGGUUGCAAAAGAAGUAGAUAGCUUAACCUUCGGGAGGGCGUUUACCACUUUGUGAUUCAUGACUGGGGUGAAGUCGUAACAAGGUAAGCGUACGUGU